This 366-nucleotide ribosomal RNA is filed under the name Gephyromantis webbi. RNAcentral describes it as "partial 16S ribosomal RNA". It matches the Rfam family "Bacterial large subunit ribosomal RNA", at positions 2076 to 2597 of the family's 2925-position model. The record is from RNAcentral. Lineage: Eukaryota; Metazoa; Chordata; Amphibia; Anura; Mantellidae.
GGGAUAUUAUUAUAAGACGAGAAGACCCCMUGGAGCUUUAAACUUAGCUUCNCUCCCAUCUUUUAUAUCCUCCCAUCAACCGGAAACCUGUAAGCUCGGUUUUAGGUUGGGGCGACCACGGAGUAAAAUAAAACCUCCAUGAUAAACGAGAUUAACCUCUUAUCCAAGAAAUACACCUCUAAGAAUUAACAUAUUAAUUUUAAUGAUCCGAUUAUCGAUCAACGGACUAAGUUACCCUGGGGAUAACAGCGCAAUCUAUUUCUAGAGCUCCUAUCGACAAAUGGGUUUACGACCUCGAUGUUGGAUCAGGAUAUCCCAGUGGUGCAACAGCUACUAAUGGUUCGUUUGUUCAACGAUUAAAAUCCU